UGAAACUCAAAGGAAUUGACGGGGGCCCGCACAAGCGGAGGAACAUGUGGUUUAAUUCGAUGAUACGCGAGGAACCUUACCUGGACUUAAAUGUAGAUUGACAGGACUAGAGAUAGUUUUUUCUUCGGACAAUUUACAAGGUGCUGCAUGGUUGUCGUCAGCUCGUGCCGUGAGGUGUCGGGUUAAGUCCCAUAACGAGCGCAACCCCUAUCUUUAGUUACCAGCACGUAAUGGUGGGGACUCUAAAGAGACUGCCUGGGUAACCAGAGAGGAAGGUGGGGAUGACGUCAAAUCAGCACGGCCCUUACGUCCAGGGCUACACACGUGUUACAAUGGUCGGUACAAAGGGCAGCUACCUAGCGAUAGGAUGCUAAUCUCUAAAACCGGUCUCAGUUCGGAUCGGAGUCUGCAACUCGACUCCGUGAAGCUGGAUUCGCUAGUAAUCGCAUAUCAGCCAUGAUGCGGUGAAUACGUUCCCGGGCCUUGUACACACCGCCCGUCAAACCAUGGAAGUUGGGGGUGCCUGAAGUCUGUUAC
Molecule: ribosomal RNA, 537 nt
Filed under: uncultured Cytophagales bacterium
Lineage: Bacteria; Pseudomonadati; Bacteroidota; Sphingobacteriia; Sphingobacteriales
Description: bacterial SSU rRNA
Rfam family: Bacterial small subunit ribosomal RNA
Source: RNAcentral